GCAAGGCGGUGGUGGUUGCCAGCGUGACUACGAAUCUCCUGUUCUCUGUGACUCCUGCUCCCUUCCGGCCACGCAGCCCUGAAAGUUGACUGUUCAUACUCUUUCCUGCGCGUGGCCUUUGUGUGCUCUCUCGUGACAGCACUGGUUUACCCUAAAACUUAGAAUACAUGCAGGAACUUGUGUGUGUUGUGGAAUCAGGUGCUGCUGUAUCCUGCUAAUGUCUUCUUUGUGGAGGAAAAAAAAAGAAAUCCAACCUGGCUGUGGCAGUUACCUCUCAGGAAGUUACAAGGAUGGGUCAGGAGGGAAACACCUUUAUUUUUCCUUUUGGCUUAAACCCAAAAGGUUAAAUAUAAUCAGAUUCUAAGAAUUCUUAUAAAUAAUCUAUGUAAUCCAGAUGCAGUAAACA
Molecule: long non-coding RNA, 406 nt
Organism: Pygoscelis adeliae (Adelie penguin)
Lineage: Eukaryota; Metazoa; Chordata; Aves; Sphenisciformes; Spheniscidae
Exons: 3
Source: RefSeq, a predicted model, not a curated record